RNAcentral lists this transfer RNA (63 nucleotides) under Caliscelis shandongensis. Its description in RNAcentral is "tRNA-Phe". Lineage: Eukaryota; Metazoa; Arthropoda; Insecta; Hemiptera; Caliscelidae. RNAcentral also lists the same sequence under 1 other name. The record is from RNAcentral.
AUUUAAUUAGCUUAAUUAAAAGUUUAACAUUGAAAAUGUUAAGAUAGAUUUUUCUAUUAAAUA